CCCCUCUCAAGGUUGCACCUGGAGAGUUUCCAGUACUCUGCCAGUAUUGACUACGGGAGGGAAAGUUAAGCAGAGGCCUACUCAUUCCAUUCCUAGCUUGGCCAGUGGCUAGCAAGUAGAAGGCAAUCUGCUACAAGU
This 138-nucleotide small nucleolar RNA is filed under the name Ornithorhynchus anatinus (platypus). Lineage: Eukaryota; Metazoa; Chordata; Mammalia; Monotremata; Ornithorhynchidae. The record is from RNAcentral.